GUACAUGAAGAGAGGUAGGAAGUCCUCUUCCUUUUUUUGGGUGGAACAGCUAGGCCCCUCCAGUUCUCAACUGCAUCCCCAUCAGCCGGAAAAAUGUUUGUGGUAGCAUCAGAUCCCACAAAUGGAACAAAUCCGCAUAUUUCCCUCGAUGAAGGAAAGAUGACGAGCAAUGAAGCGAUCGACUCGAAGAGGCAAGUUGUCAUGUUUGAAAAGGCCAUGUUUUAUGUUUUUGAAAUCAGCUUCAACAGUGGCUGAACUUGCUGUGAUGCUGGUGCUUUGGAAGAGAGGGACCAUUAUUCCUGUCCAGAGUGGCAAGUAACUUGCCAGUCUUAUUAUAUGAGGAAUAAUCUCAGGGAGAAAGUGAAUAUUAUCUCUAUCCCCAUUUGCUGCAGCAAGUGACCUGCUCUCCUCACAUAUUUCUGUUACCCACUGUCGUAGGUCAGUCUGGAUCUCAUCCACUGAAUCCACUCUCUCACUUUCCUCCGUCUGUUCAUCUGGAAUGAUGAUGGAGUCUUGAGAAAUUUGGGCUUUCAAGUAUUUCUUGCACCUUUCUGAAGGAAGAGGUGCUCCAGAACUGUCAUCACCUUCUGCCUCACUGAGGGCCACAACAGUGAUAGCAUGCAAUCCCACUGGCAUAUCAUCUUGAUGCAGUGCGCAACAUCAACCCUGAUAUAACAAGGGGGGAGUUUGGCAGACUGGGUUCCAAGAAGGACAUGAAAGCAUUCAUUAAGAGUGGCCAAAUUUGGAAGGUGGCUUGGCUCAGGAUCUCCAACAUCCAUCAGAUCUGCUGCCCUCGCUGACCUCCAUACAGCCGGUUCCAUUCUGCCCUCACACAGCUCUUUAGCGAUCUGUUCACGCAGGUUUCCAGACAUGAACCGCUUGGAGUGGCCAGUGUGCAGGGAGAAAUCUGUAUUUCUCAUGAAACACUGGAGCACCAUUGGACUAUUAAUUGCUGGCUGUCUGUCACAUGACAUUUCUAACUGGCCAUGACACUCCUUACAGUCGCCUCUGAUGUCCAGAUAAUUAUUGUUGACAGUUGGAUGGACCUUUGCUCUACGGAACACAAGUGUACAUGUAUUUUUGAUCUUCUUCCAUAUAAGAUCGUUGAUGAUAUGAGUCCAAGUGCCAGGUUUCAAAAUUGUGUAUUCCCUUUUUAGGGUAGGAGAAAACUUGUCAUUGUAUUCAACCUUUUCAGGAAUAAAUUUAACCCAGUCCUCAAAAGGGACUUCUAGUUCAAAAGCUUGACAGUUUUCUUGUCCAGGAGAAAUGCAAUGUGAAUCUAACUCUCCUUCACUAUUACUUUCCUGAUCACUGAUUUCCAAAGCUGACCAGAUGUUGUGUCUAUUUAGCUUCACAAAAGUGUACAGGGCCUUUGCUGACAUCUUGUCUUCUAGCUGCUGACUCAGCUCUUUCCAGACUGAUGCAGCUGGAGUGGCUAUUUUGCCAUUUUGGACUAUGGCCUCUUUUGAAUUGCAAAGAACUGCAAAAAUGGAAACCUUGUCUACAGAUGGCUUUCGAGGCAUCUAAAAUAAAACACACUAUGAUUAUGAUGGAGCAAAAUGUGAUUUCUGAACUAUAUACACAGCCAGGAGCAACCCCUCCCCCAAGUUCUCCACCAAUCUACACUUUCAUAUUUUGUGGAAUUAUUGUUUUUAAGAUGGAGCUAUUGAAUUUGUGAGUUUAUUAAAUUGAGUCUGAGUAUUUAACCCAUGUACUGUACAGCACUUUAGUCCAGUGUGCUACAUGUUUUAAAGUGCUUUAGAAACUUUUUUCUUGGACAUUUUUGAAAAUGUUUAACAUUGAAAAAAAAUCCUUUUGAUCCAGAUAGUUAGCUAUAUCAUGUAUUAACUCAGUAACUAAAACCUCAGUAUUUUAAAUGUAAGCUUACCUUGUUCAGAAAUCAGAUGAACGCUGUUCUAAGAAUCCUUCAGACACAGUAAUGCCAAAUAAUAGUUUUUUCUGCCAGAAAAUGUGUAUUUGAUGCAAAAGACUGCUAGCUUGUUCGUUUCUCAAAAAGUGUUCAUGGGAGUGUAAAAUGUUCAAAUGUAGUUUUCAAUAAAGUUUUUUUAAUCCACUCUAAAAAAA
This is a long non-coding RNA of Astatotilapia calliptera (eastern happy), 2085 nucleotides long. The record is from Ensembl. Lineage: Eukaryota; Metazoa; Chordata; Actinopteri; Cichliformes; Cichlidae.